Molecule: long non-coding RNA, 2901 nt
Organism: Alnus glutinosa
Lineage: Eukaryota; Viridiplantae; Streptophyta; Magnoliopsida; Fagales; Betulaceae
Exons: 3
Source: RefSeq, a predicted model, not a curated record
UGCUAGACGCCUAGACGUAGGAAGUCGGCCUUGUUUUCAAAAUUGGUCUGGAGACUCACCCAAGAAAUGGAUUCUAAUUGGGCUCAAGUGCUUAUGACCGAGAUGGCUCUCAAACAUAUCACUUUGAUGAGUCAUAACUCAUAAGGUUUUGAAAUUCUGUCACCUUCUGGUAACUAGACAACUUAACUCUCUCUCCACCAACCACCUGCCUCCUCCAAUUAGCCUGCUGCUGUUCAACCAUUCAUCAGCCUCCUCCCUUAUGCAUGUACUCCAUGCGCCGUUGUAGCAAACGUGGGUUAUACACCCCGUAGUUCGGCCUGUUCCUUUGAUCUCAUGCAAUAGAUCUUCUCUAUUACAGUACCUCUGGUUACUAGACAACUUAACUCUCUCUCCACCAACCACCUGCCUCCUCCAUUUAGCCUGCUGCUGUUCAACCAUUCAUCGGCCUCCUCCCUUAUGCAUGUACUUCAUGCGCCGUUGUAGCAAACGUGGGUUAUACACCCCGUCGUCGUUCGGCCUGUUCCUUUGAUCUCAUGCAAUAGAUCUUAUCUAUUACACUACCUCUGGUGCUUGGCCGAGUCAGGGGCUGCGAUUGAUGAAUUGCGAUUGGGAUUUCUGUGAUAAUAUCCUUUUGGACGAUUGAGCUAAAUUUUCAGAGAGCUGUGGGUUCUUCAAUUGUAAACCGGAAGAUUCAUUCCCAAAGAUCUUGCUUGUCCCGAGGCCGAUAAGAAGGAGACAGACCAUGAAACAUCUAAGCAUACAAUAGCAUCAGGAGCUGAUAGUGAGAUGCAUUACUGAACCAAAGAGUGUUCUAUGCAAAUCUAAAGUUUGAAUUCUUGGAAAUCCUGCUAUGCAUUUAAUAGGUUUUCACCGUAUGUACCUUAAAUAUUUUUUGUCUUGUGAUUUUUUUUACUGAAUUAUGGAAAAUGAGGAUCUGGGUGGGGUUUGUUUGUUGCUUUUAAAUUCUGGUGAUUUCAUAACAUAUAUUUGAUUUUGUAAUUUUGGUUGAUGGUUGUUUAGAUUUUGGGGUUGCUGGGUGGACUUGUGAUGUUUUGGAGUUUAAUAGUUAGCUUUUACCGUGUUUGGUAUUGGUUAGGUAUAUGAACUAGUCUUCUAGACUUCUACUAUUAGUUUUAAUUAUAAAUGAAUCAUUGAUAAUUAGUUUUAUAUAUAUAUAGGUUGACACAUAAUUUUCUUGAAUUUAUGGUAUAUCUCUGAAGGGGUAUUGUUUGGAAAAUUAUGCCUUUAGUGUUGAUGCUACUAACACUGGGUUAAACCAAAUGGCAUAAGAUCAACUUGAAUAACAGUGAUAUAACACCUAGCAGAAAAUAAUUUAACAAAUAUUAACUUAAUAUAAAUCAUGCAUGUUAACCUUAUUGAUCAUGGAAUUUCAAAUUACAAUCAACACUCAAAAAUAUGAUUGUUGGAAACGAAUAAAGAAAGAAAGAAAUAAAUACUUUGACAAAUGGGUAACUCAAAUAAAUAAAAAUCCUUUAACUAAUUAAUUUUAGCUAAAUAUUUGUUUAACUAAAUGUGAAUGCUAACAACAUUUACUUAUUUCAGUCUUCACUUAAUUUAAUUUGGUGUUCCUUUUCAAUUAUUUAGAGAGUCGUGACCAUUAUAUUUGUCUUACAUUUAGCUAGCAACUUCACUUAUUUUUGCUUAUGUUUGACAUUGAUGGACGAGUGCUAAUUCCAUUGUUAAUUGAAAAAAUGUCAUAUUGGAAUUGGUACUAUGAUACCAAUUCCCCAUUUUCAUAUUGGAUUAAUUUUUAUUCGAUAAUUAGAAGUUAUUUAUGAUUAAUAGUUGUAUCUGUUUAUCUAACAACAUAGCACAUUUACUAUGUAUUUGCAAUGUUGUCACGCUAUGGAUAAGAGUUGGAUGUAAAAGUUUAGAGAUUCGAGAGAGUAUAUUAAUGGAGUUAAAGAGUUUGUAUCAUUUGCAGUUAGCAACUCUAAAACUAAAGAAUUCAUUGUGUGCCCCUAUAAGAUGUGUUCAUUGCACAAGAAACUUAGGCCACAGGAAGUAUAUGACCAUUUAACAGGUGGAUCCAGGAUGUUUGAAGGUUAUAUUGAUUGGGUAUGCCAUGGGGAAAAGAUUAAUGCUUCCCAUGAUACAUAGCCAAUAAUUGAAGGCUCAAGUUCGGCACCGGUCGAUAGGGCGCCAAAUCUUGACGAGCAUAGAAUGUUGCAUCAAAUAUUGCAUGAUGUUUUCCGUAUGCACGAUAGUAGAGUAGAUGAGGGUGGAUCUCAAAUGGAAGCUAAAGUUGAAACUAUGGAAGAAGUCCAAGAAGACACUGAUGACAAGUGUGCGAUAAAGUUCUACAAUUUGAUCAAGGAUGCUGACAAGCUACUAUAUGAGAAUACAAAACAUAGCAAAUUAGGGGCCAUUGUACAUCUUUAGAGUUGUGGUUAGAUUGCUGUCAAAAUUAAAUUUUAUUUUUUGCUCUUUGUAUUUUGAAUUUUGUAAUUUUUUAUUUUUGUACACCUAUACUGUUUGUUUGUACUUGUUCAUUCUCAUCAAAAUAAAACUGCCUAUAUUAACUCAAUCGUGGGGGCUGAGAUUUAAAGGACGUAUCGUUUUGAUUUUCCUUCACAAAUCAUGCUUAACAUUGGCUAUUCCCAUUGAUUGAUGACUGCAGGGCUCUAGCGAGAAGUUUUGGUUCAAACCAGCUUCGCCAUGCUUGUAGGCUAAAGAAUUUGUUGUGGAUCUUUUCUCUUUGUUGUAUGAUGACUACCCUAUUGUGUGUAUUCUGGUUGACUAGUUUCAGUACAAGUUCUUGCUAAUUGACUUAUAGGACUUUUGAAAGGAUUUGUAACAGAUAUAAUCUUUCAGUCGGAUAGUUUUUAAGAUAAUUCUAUGAUAUAAAACUUCAAAUGAUAACAAUUUCUCUUAAAUAAG